GAUGAGGUUGUGAGGUUGGGAAUUAGUGUUGAAAUUUGCGUGUAAAAUUUUUUUAGAACAAUUCAUGCAGAUGAUUGUGGCUUUUCUGGUGAUUGGGCCUUCAGUAAGGUACAGUCACACACUCGUCACACACCACCCACUGGUUGCCUGCCCCAAUGCUGUUCAUGUCUCUCUCCAUUCUGGAAUUCCAUUAAAAUAGGAGUCUCGCGCCUUUCCUCAUUAUGACCCUCCAUGAACUUGACCUCCGAUUCCCAGCGUUCCGGGUUCGACUCCUUGGCAAGAAGAAGUCUGAGUGGAGCAAUGCAGUUCAACUGUGGGCAUGCAUCCAU
Zootermopsis nevadensis is the source of this 329-nucleotide non-coding RNA. NCBI's taxonomy places the organism in Eukaryota, Metazoa, Arthropoda, Insecta, Blattodea, Termopsidae. The record is from RefSeq and is a predicted model, not a curated record.